UCCUUUGUCUGCGUGGCUCUCAUUCCUUUCUUCUCAUCCGCGUGGCUCUCAUGCUUUUCUUCUCAUUCUUGGCCUGUUCUUGGUUUUGGGAGCACCGCUUCAAUUCCUCAUUCUUCUUCUUAGCUUUCUCUGGCCAGUGGCGGUCAGCAACUUUCUGCUCACAAUUUUGGCAGUCACCGAUUCCUAGCGGUCAGUGGGCGGUGGGGGACGAUUUUGCUAGCCAGAAAUUUCUGCUCACAAUAUUGGCACUCACCAAUUCUUAGCGUAUAUUCUCGAAAAGUUGAAACUUGUUGAAGAAAGGCAAAUGGAAGGAAGGGACUCACUUUGUUAUCUCUGAGCAGAAAAUCAUCCUAAGUGACCAAAGAAUUUCGCUGCCACGGCCACGACCGACGACGGUCUUGAAUCUAAAAGGGUAGUUUGCGCAAGUUUUAACAGUUUCAACGACCGUGACUUCAAAUUCGGACGGAGUAUGCAUAUUCCAUUCAUGUAUACUCGGACAAAUUUUUAAUUUCUUGUUACUUUGUCGGACAAAAUUUAUUUUCUUCAAGCAAUCCCUUCUUAGUUUCCGCAAUCAAGUUACAAACCAUCUGUAAAUAGAAAUCCUCUCUUUUGCUGGCUUAAUUGUAACGUUUUGUGUUGGUUUGGUGGUGUAACGUUUUGUGUUGAAUUUGAUCCCGCAAGCUUUUGGCUAACGGAUGCUCCGGUCCAUGAGUCUCCCUCAGGCUUUAAUUUUUGUCUGCAAAAGUGGGCUUGAUUGGGAAAAAUGGCUAAUUGAGGGAGGAUCGAGAUCGAUAUGAUAUGCGUCUUGUGUGUAUUCGCAUGUUCGGUUGGACUCAGGAUCUUCGAGUAUCAUGCACGGAUUAUGUCAUACAACACCAGUUAUUGACAAGAAGGCAGGAAAAAGUUACAUUCUUGACAUGGACAAAGAGUACGUUACAGUUUUGUCCCUCUGUAGGAUGUGUCUCUAUUCUAGUUUUGGAUUGUUGACAUGUAUUGCUGUUUGAUUCAGGAUUGGCUUUCCCUGUGUACUUGAAAAUAUUUUGCUACUAAUUAACACUGCUGUUGCUAUUAACCCAUUUUGUAGCUUACGAGGAAUCCAUAAUGCAAAUCCAUUUCUUUG
Molecule: non-coding RNA, 1120 nt
Organism: Coffea arabica (coffee)
Lineage: Eukaryota; Viridiplantae; Streptophyta; Magnoliopsida; Gentianales; Rubiaceae
Source: RefSeq, a predicted model, not a curated record